This 329-nucleotide ribosomal RNA is filed under the name uncultured eukaryote. RNAcentral's name for it is "partial 18S ribosomal RNA". It matches the Rfam family "Eukaryotic small subunit ribosomal RNA", at positions 1470 to 1796 of the family's 1831-position model. The record is from RNAcentral.
CCCUUAGAUGUUCUGGGCUGCACCCGUGCUACACUGGCAGGUUCAGCGAGCUUCAUGCCCUGAUCUGAAAGGAAUGGGAAAUCUUUUCAAAACCUGCCGUGCUUGGGAUAGAUGUUUGCAAUUAUUCAUCUUCAACGAGGAUUGCCUUGUAAGCGCACGUCAUCAGCGUGCAUUGAAUACGACCCUGUAUUCUGUACACACCGCCCGUCGCUCCUACCGAUUGAGUGGUCCGGUGAGGCUUUGGGAUCUGAGCGGAAAGAGCGUUUCGCUGUUUCUGCCCGGAAAACUCAGUCGAACCUUAUCAUUUAGAGGAAGGAGAAGUCGUAACA